This 453-nucleotide ribosomal RNA is filed under the name uncultured Comamonas sp. RNAcentral's name for it is "bacterial SSU rRNA". It matches the Rfam family "Bacterial small subunit ribosomal RNA", at positions 924 to 1382 of the family's 1533-position model. The record is from RNAcentral. Lineage: Bacteria; Pseudomonadati; Pseudomonadota; Betaproteobacteria; Burkholderiales; Comamonadaceae.
CACAAGCGGUGAUGAUGUGGUUUAAUUCGAUGCAACGCGAAAAACCUUACCCACCUUUGACAUGUACGGAAUCCUUUAGAGAUAGAGGAGUGCUCGAAAGAGAGCCGUAACACAGGUGCUGCAUGGCUGUCGUCAGCUCGUGUCGUGAGAUGUUGGGUUAAGUCCCGCAACGAGCGCAACCCUUGUCAUUAGUUGCUACGAAAGGGCACUCUAAUGAGACUGCCGGUGACAAACCGGAGGAAGGUGGGGAUGACGUCAAGUCCUCAUGGCCCUUAUAGGUGGGGCUACACACGUCAUACAAUGGCUGGUACAAAGGGUUGCCAACCCGCGAGGGGGAGCCAAUCCCAUAAAGCCAGUCGUAGUCCGGAUCGCAGUCUGCAACUCGACUGCGUGAAGUCGGAAUCGCUAGUAAUCGUGGAUCAGCAUGUCACGGUGAAUACGUUCCCGGGUCUU